AGAUAGUACUAGUUCAUAAUAGCUCCAAUAAAUAAUAGAGAGAUGGAGCAAUGGCUUAAUAUGUAAAUUUCUCUAAAUCCAUGGGCCAUUACAAACCAUUCAGCUAUAUAUACCGUCAUAUACAUCAGUACUGGACCAAUUCAUUUCACCCCUCACAAACAAAUCUGUAAAUCUCAACAAUCACCGAAUUCCAUUACUAGUAUAAUCACAUCGGAGAAAUUCAAAAAUGGCGGGGGUAAGAAAAGAAAUGAUGAGUAUAAAUGGAGUAAACAUGUUAAGAAGGGUGGAAUAUGGAAGACCAAUUCCAAAAAGAGGGCAAGUGAAACUCACUAUAGUGUUGGAAUUAGCUCAAUCUCUCUCUUCUAUUUUCUCCAAUCGCCGAUAGACAUUAGAAAGUACCCAAUUUUGGUAAAUUUAGAGUGUGUUGAAGGUAUCAUUAUCCUUUAAUUAGAUAUUGAGCUUACUAUUUUUUGUAUUUUGUACAUUCAACACUCCCAUUUGUAUAAAGUUUUGGAGAUUAAGUUUUCAAUUUCUUCCUUAGCUAAACACAUUCUUCUAUUUGUUUUGUUAAUCGUUAAUUUAUGCACUACUUAUGAAAUAGGAUAGAAAUCCAGCUCCCCUACACAUACUCAAAUACACGUUUAAUUUUCAAGUCAUUAAAAAUAUUUAUUCAAAAUGAUGUUCACUUUUAUCUAUUAUUCAUAUUCCCUAUAAAUAUAUUCCGAGUAGGUGUAAAAGAGAGCAGACAAAAUGCUGUCAAAAUUUACAAUCUAGUAGACAAGUAGUAAUUAGAUACAGAAAAAUUUCCUAGGUGUGUCUAUAUAUUUUUACAUACGAGGACUGAAAUAAGCAACGUGGGAAAAAAGUCAUUUAUGAAAAAGUUAUAUAUAUUAGAUUGUAGAUAUUGAAAUUUUAAGAUAUUUGGAGGCUACUCUGUUUUAUGCUUUAGCUUACUUUUAUAUAACGCGUAACAUAUUUUCUUGAAGAGACAUCUUCACAUUCUAUAAAUUCCUGAAAUUCACGACAAGAUAUCAAAUAUUAGUCUAUCAAAAUAACGUUUCAAUAAAAUUAGUGGUCUAAACCUAAAUUUAAAUCCGAGGCUUAAAAAUAUACGUAUACAUAAUAAAUAAAAAAUUAAUGUCAUUUUUUGUCUUUUUUAUAAUUGUUGUGUUUAGUGUAGUAUUAUAUUUUAUCUAGUGAUAUUAUUAUUUAUAAUACUAAGGAUUGAUGCAAGUUAAUAAUACGUUAAUCAGGUAUUUUCAAUACAUUACCUUGGAUGUUAUUGUAAAUAUAUUACUUCUUAUUAUAAAGAUUUGAGUAGUUUAAUUCAGAAUUUCAAAAUAUUCUAUUGAAUGAUGAUAUUUUUUUUAACUAUAUCCAUUAUUGUCAAAUUUUUUUUUUUAUAAAAUUAAUAAAAAAAAUUUGAGGCAUUGAGAUUUUGGGACCUAAAGCAAAGAUUUUACUAGCCUCACACUUGAGCAACCCAUGACCAUUGCCCUAUGUUUCUAACGAUUAAAUAUACAUUAGGUCGAAAUCAUCCUACAUUUGAAAAAUAAUUUAUUGACAGUCCUCGAAUUAUGAAGAAAAUUCAAAGAGAAGAAUCAAGGAAUAUAUAAAUUUGUACACAAUCUUAAUAAAUAAAAUCACAUUUUCUUAAAUUACAUUCUUUUAUUUGUUCUGUUAUUGACAUAUAUUUUCAACAUACGAGUAAAUUUGCUGCAAAUAGAAAAUACUUCAAUUAUCAAAACUACACUUAGAACUAUUAUUUUUUUGGUAUCACCAUUUAAAUUACAUUUUUUAUUUAAAUUACACUUAUAUAAUCA
This 1823-nucleotide long non-coding RNA is filed under the name Capsicum annuum. RNAcentral's name for it is "long non-coding RNA (CANN_LNC003490)". The record is from RNAcentral. Lineage: Eukaryota; Viridiplantae; Streptophyta; Magnoliopsida; Solanales; Solanaceae.